RNAcentral lists this ribosomal RNA (222 nucleotides) under uncultured bacterium. RNAcentral's name for it is "partial 16S ribosomal RNA". It matches the Rfam family "Bacterial small subunit ribosomal RNA", at positions 355 to 569 of the family's 1533-position model. The record is from RNAcentral.
UAGGGAAUCUUCGGCAAUGGGGGCAACCCUGACCGAGCAACGCCGCGUGAGUGAAGAAGGUUUUCGGAUCGUAAAGCUCUGUUGUAAGUCAAGAACGGGUGUGAGAGUGGAAAGUUCACACUGUGACGGUAGCUUACCAGAAAGGGACGGCUAACUACGUGCCAGCAGCCGCGGUAAUACGUAGGUCCCGAGCGUUGUCCGGAUUUAUUGGGCGUAAAAGCG